AGCGGGAUUGUGUAAAGGUAGCACAGCGGACUCUGACUCCGUAUGUGAGGGUUCGACUCCUUCUCCCGCUGCCA
RNAcentral lists this transfer RNA (74 nucleotides) under Bacillota bacterium. RNAcentral describes it as "tRNA-Gln". It matches the Rfam family "tRNA". From Rfam's summary of the family: Transfer RNA (tRNA) molecules are approximately 80 nucleotides in length. Lineage: Bacteria; Bacillati; Bacillota. The record is from RNAcentral.